GACGAACGCUGGCGGCGCGCCUAACACAUGCAAGUCGAACGAGCGAGAGAGAGCUUGCUUUCUCGAGCGAGUGGCGAACGGGUGAGUAACGCGUGAGUAACCUGCCUUUCAGAGGGGGAUAACGUUUGGAAACGAACGCUAAUACCGCAUAAGCUGGUAGGCCGCAUGGUCCAGCCAGAAAAGGAGCAAUCCGCUGAUAGAUGAGCUUGCGUCUGAUUAGUUAGUUGGUGAGGUAACGGCCCACCAAGACGAUGAUCAGUAGCCGGACUGAGAGGUUGAACGGCCACAUUGGGACUGAGAUACGGCCCAG
RNAcentral lists this ribosomal RNA (310 nucleotides) under uncultured bacterium. RNAcentral's name for it is "bacterial SSU rRNA". It matches the Rfam family "Bacterial small subunit ribosomal RNA", at positions 28 to 334 of the family's 1533-position model. The record is from RNAcentral.